This 686-nucleotide long non-coding RNA is filed under the name Numida meleagris (helmeted guineafowl). RNAcentral describes it as "lncRNA (ENSNMEG00000014906.1)". Lineage: Eukaryota; Metazoa; Chordata; Aves; Galliformes; Numididae. The record is from RNAcentral.
AAAGUUCGUCUUGUGGUGUUUGCAAACUGUCUCUGUGAGGUCCAUUUGCUGUAGUGUAAACACGACUGUGGCAGGGUGCCUGGUGCCUUCGCAGCAGCUAAUCCUGCUCAGCUGAGGGCCGACCACGUGAGGUAAAGCAGCAGGCCGGGUCUGCACGGUGAACCCAACACCAGUCAGCCCUGGGGCUGAGGGCCUUAGCACGAGGCCUUCACUCCUUCUCCACAGAUAACACAGAGCAGCUCUAACUGUAAGACCAGAUUGAACCCCCCACUGUGCUUUGCAUCAGAUUGUGGUCAGCUGUGGAAGGUUGGGUUAAACACCAGGGCUGUAAUCAUGCAAAAAUGGCUGCACCUGGGGCUGCAGCUGGCCUAUGGCUGCCCUCCCUAGUCUUUAAGUCAGGUCAAGGAAGCAGGCCUAGCCCUGGGCAAGGUGGAGUUUCAGCUCCUCUGCUUUGCAAGAGUGGUGUAGGCUGCAAAGUACGUGAAGCUUUCUCACCAAAUACAGCUGAAAAGGCAGGCCAUCACAGUCGUUCUGUGCUGCGAGCCUUUGUGUCCACAUCUCAGAACUGGAUAAGGCUUCCUCCAGGAUUCCUCUGCAGGUCAGUGGUAACACUAACCACUAACUCUGUGUCUCGCAGUGGUUUUGGUACUCGUGACUGGACUAGAGAACUGAAUCAGAUGCUCUAA